This 66-nucleotide transfer RNA is filed under the name Nesophrosyne sp. 21 GMB-2012. RNAcentral describes it as "tRNA-Leu". The record is from RNAcentral. Lineage: Eukaryota; Metazoa; Arthropoda; Insecta; Hemiptera; Cicadellidae.
AAUGAAUUGGCAGAUUAGUGCUCUAGAUUUAGGAUUUGGUUAAGUGUUUAAAAAAUACAUUCAUUA